AGCCCAUAGAUGGCUGUCGAG
This 21-nucleotide unclassified non-coding RNA is filed under the name Mus musculus (house mouse). Its description in RNAcentral is "oocyte_clustered_small_RNA4361". Lineage: Eukaryota; Metazoa; Chordata; Mammalia; Rodentia; Muridae. The record is from RNAcentral.